GGUGCAAGCGGCUUUUCAAGUCGGUUGUCAAAUAUCUCGGCUUAACCGAGGAGCAUCAAUCGAUACUGUUGGGCUAGAGUGCAACAGAAGGAAGCGGAAUUCCCGGUGUAGUGGUGAAAUGCGUAGAUAUCGGGAGGAACACCAGUGGCGUAAGCGGCUUCCUAGGUUGUUACUGACGCCUAGACCCGAAAGCGUGGGGAGCAAACA
Molecule: ribosomal RNA, 207 nt
Filed under: uncultured bacterium
Lineage: Bacteria
Description: partial 16S ribosomal RNA
Rfam family: Bacterial small subunit ribosomal RNA
Source: RNAcentral